GAUGAACGCUGGCGGCGUGCCUAAUACAUGCAAGUCGAGCGAACGGACGAGAAGCUUGCUUCUCUGAUGUUAGCGGCGGACGGGUGAGUAACACGUGGAUAACCUACCUAUAAGACUGGGAUAAUUUCGGGAAACCGGAGCUAAUACCGGCUAAUAUUUUGAACCGCAUGGUUCAAAAGUGAUAGACGGUCUUGCUGUCACUUAUAGAUGGAUCCGCGCUGCAUUAGCUAGUUGGUAAGGUAACGGCUUACCAAGGCAACGAUGCAUAGCCGACCUGAGAGGGUGAUCGGCCACACUGGAACUGAGACACGGUCCAGACUCCUACGGGAGGCAGCAGUAGGGAAUCUUCCGCAAUGGGCGAAAGCCUGACGGAGCAACGCCGCGUGAGUGAUGAAGGUCUUCGGAUCGUAAAACUCUGUUAUUAGGGAAGAAAAUAUGUGUAAGUAACUGUGCACAUCUUGACGGUACCUAAACAGAAAGCCACGGCUAACUACGUG
RNAcentral lists this ribosomal RNA (497 nucleotides) under uncultured bacterium. RNAcentral describes it as "partial 16S ribosomal RNA". It matches the Rfam family "Bacterial small subunit ribosomal RNA", at positions 28 to 507 of the family's 1533-position model. The record is from RNAcentral.